ACUGCAAGUCGAGCGGACAGAUGGGAGCUUGCUCCCUGAUGUUAGCGGCGGACGGGUGAGUAACACGUGGGUAACCUGCCUGUAAGACUGGGAUAACUCCGGGAAACCGGGGCUAAUACCGGAUGGUUGUUUGAACCGCAUGGUUCAGACAUAAAAGGUGGCUUCGGCUACCACUUACAGAUGGACCCGCGGCGCAUUAGCUAGUUGGUGAGGUAACGGCUCACCAAGGCGACGAUGCGUAGCCGACCUGAGAGGGUGAUCGGCCACACUGGGACUGAGACACGGCCCAGACUCCUACGGGAGGCAGCAGUAGGGAAUCUUCCGCAAUGGACGAAAGUCUGACGGAGCAACGCCGCGUGAGUGAUGAAGGUUUUCGGAUCGUAAAGCUCUGUUGUUAGGGAAGAACAAGUGCCGUUCAAAUAGGGCGGCACCUUGACGGUACCUAACCAGAAAGCCACGGCUAACUACGUGCCAGCAGCCGCGGUAAUACGUAGGUGGCAAGCGUUGUCCGGAAUUAUUGGGCGUAAAGGGCUCGCAGGCGGUUUCUUAAGUCUGAUGUGAAAGCCCCCGGCUCAACCGGGGAGGGUCAUUGGAAACUGGGGAACUUGAGUGCAGAAGAGGAGAGUGGAAUUCCACGUGUAGCGGUGAAAUGCGUAGAGAUGUGGAGGAACACCAGUGGCGAAGGCGACUCUCUGGUCUGUAACUGACGCUGAGGAGCGAAAGCGUGGGGAGCGAACAGGAUUAGAUACCCUGGUAGUCCACGCCGUAAACGAUGAGUGCUAAGUGUUAGGGGGUUUCCGCCCCUUAGUGCUGCAGCUAACGCAUUAAGCACUCCGCCUGGGGAGUACGGUCGCAAGACUGAAACUCAAAGGAAUUGACGGGGGCCCGCACAAGCGGUGGAGCAUGUGGUUUAAUUCGAAGCAACGCGAAGAACCUUACCAGGUCUUGACAUCCUCUGACAAUCCUAGAGAUAGGACGUCCCCUUCGGGGGCAGAGUGACAGGUGGUGCAUGGUUGUCGUCAGCUCGUGUCGUGAGAUGUUGGGUUAAGUCCCGCAACGAACGCAACCCUUGAUCUUAGUUGCCAGCAUUCAGUUGGGCCCUCCAAGGG
RNAcentral lists this ribosomal RNA (1109 nucleotides) under Bacillus siamensis. Its description in RNAcentral is "bacterial SSU rRNA". It matches the Rfam family "Bacterial small subunit ribosomal RNA", at positions 53 to 1146 of the family's 1533-position model. Lineage: Bacteria; Bacillati; Bacillota; Bacilli; Caryophanales; Bacillaceae. The record is from RNAcentral.